This 492-nucleotide ribosomal RNA is filed under the name uncultured euryarchaeote. Its description in RNAcentral is "bacterial SSU rRNA". It matches the Rfam family "Archaeal small subunit ribosomal RNA", at positions 327 to 819 of the family's 1478-position model. Lineage: Archaea; Methanobacteriati; Methanobacteriota. The record is from RNAcentral.
CGGGCGCAGCAGGCGCGAAAACUUCACAAUGUGGGAAACCACGAUGAGGGAAACCCAAGUGCCAGCACUAUGUGUUGGCUGUCCUCCAGUGUUAAUAACUGGGGAAGAAAGUGCUGGGUAAGACGGGUGCCAGCCGCCGCGGUAAUACCCGCAGCCCAAGUGGUGGUCAUUAUUAUUGGGYCUAAAGCGUCCGUAGYUGGCUKRUUAGAUGCCUGGGUAAAUCGAAGCGCUUAACGYAUCGAAUUCCGGGUAGACCGCYCGGCUAGGGACCGGGAGAGGUGUGAGGUACUCUGAGGGUAGGGGUAAAAUCCUGUAAUCCUUGGGGGACCACCAGUGGCGAAGGCGUCACACUAGAACGCCUCCGACAAUGAGGGACGAAGCCCUGGGGCGCAAACCGGAUUAGAUACCCCGGGUAGUCCAGGGUGUAAACGCUGCCGACUUGGUGUCGCGUGAUCCUACGAGGGUACGCGGUGCCGGAGAGAAGAUGUUAAG